Molecule: long non-coding RNA, 1423 nt
Filed under: Pan troglodytes (chimpanzee)
Lineage: Eukaryota; Metazoa; Chordata; Mammalia; Primates; Hominidae
Description: long non-coding RNA NONPTRT016448
Source: RNAcentral
GCAGGUAUAUCAACCAUUCGUGUGCACCUAAUUGUGUGGCUGAAGUGGUGACUUUUGAGAGAGGACACAAAAUUAUCAUCAGCUCCAAUCGGAGAAUCCAGAAAGGAGAAGAGCUCUGCUAUGACUAUAAGUUUGACUUUGAAGAUGACCAGCACAAGAUUCCCUGUCACUGUGGAGCUGUGAACUGCCGGAAGUGGAUGAACUGAAAUGCAUUCCUUGCUAGCUCAGCGGGCGGCUUGUCCCUAGGAAGAGGCGAUUCAACACACCAUUGGAAUUUUGCAGACAGAAAGAGAUGUUUGUUUUCUGUUUUAUGACUUUUUGAAAAAGCUUCUGGGAGUUCUGAUUUCCUCAGUCCUUUAGGUUAAAGCAGCGCCAGGAGGAAGCUGACAGAAGCAGCGUUCCUGAAGUGGCCGAGGUUAAACGGAAUCACAGAAUGGUCCAGCACUUUUGGUUUUUUUUCUUUUCCUUUUCUUUCUUUUUUUGUUUGUUUUUUGUUUUUUGUUUUGUUUUUCCCUUGUGGGUGGGUUUCAUUGUUUUGGUUUUCUAGUCUCACUAAGGAGAAACUUUUACUGGGGCAAAGAGCCGAUGGCUGCCCUGCCCCGGGCAGGGGCCUUCCUAUGAAUGUAAGACUGAAAUCACCAGCGAAGGGGACAGAGAGUGCUGGCCACGGCCUUAUUAAAAAGGGGCAGGCCCUCUAACUUCAAAAUGUUUUUAAAUAAAGUAGACACCACUGAACAAGGAAUGUACUGAAAUGACUUCCUUAGGGAUAGAGCUAAGGGAUAAUAACUUGCACUAAAUACAUUUAAAUACUUGAUUCCAUGAGUCAGUUUAUUGUAGUUUUUGAUUUCUGUAAAAUAAGAGAAACUUUUGUAUUUAUUAUUGAAUAAGUGAAUGAAGCUAUUUUUAAAUAAAGUUAGAAGAAAGCCAAGCUGCUGCUGUUACCUGCAGAACUAACAAACCCUGUUACUUUGUACAGAUAUGUAAAUAUUUUGAGAAAAAAUACAGUAUAAAAAUAGUUAUUGACCAAAUGCUACCAGGCUCUGCAGCAGCUCGGGGGCUUAUAAAAUGUUCAUAGGGAUGUUACAAUAUAAUUUUGUGUUAUAAAAUAUGCCAUUAUAAUUAUGUAAUAACCAAAAUUUCAACCUAGAGUGUUGGGGGUUUUUUGGAAACUGCAGUCUAUUAGUACUCAAUGGUUUUAUACACCUUACUUCUGACAGAGCGGGGCGUAUGCUACGACUACAACUUUUAUAGCUGUUUUGGUAAUUUAAACUAAUUUUUUCAUAUUAUAUUGUUGCAUCCCUACUUCUUCAGUCAGGUUUUUUUGUGCUUACAAUUUGUGAUAACUGUGAAUAACUGCUUAAAAAUACACCCAAAUGGAGGCUGAAUUUUUUCUUCAGCAAAAGUAGUUUUGAUUAGAACUUUG